GUAAAAUUAUUAUCUUUCUUUUCUUUUCGAAUUACACAUUAUCUUAGAAAUACCUCUCUUCCAAAAAUUCUCCGAUUUCUAAAAAUAAUUUCAAAAUUUUUUCAGAAUUUCCUUCAAAAUUUUCCCGCUUUCAAACUUUUCAAGAAAAAUAUAUUAUUCCCUUUGAAAAAUUUUCUUCCCAUCUCAAGAUUUCACUGACUGGAAAAAAAUAGCGUGCCUCCCGGUGAUUAUUACCAAUAAUCGUCGAAACACUUUCCCUCUUUUUGGCCAGCCUUUAUUCCAACGCGACGAACGCAGCCACUAUCAUUAUUCACCUGGCAAGAAGAAGAAAGAGUCGUUCCACGCGGCUCUCGUGGUAAUUGGUAAGCGGUUCGACACCGGUCAAUUAUCUUAAUGACGAGCUGCGACCGAAUCGAGACACCUGGAUCGACUGGUAACCGUCCACCCACGUCGAGGCCUCUUCCUCGGACCGAAGGAAGGCAAGCUUGGAAAGCGAACCGACGCGUGUGCCACUUCUUUUAUUCCCUCGUCACGUGCUCCACGAUUGUUACGAAUAAUUUCUCUCUAAUAUACUUGUUACACUGGUUGAUUAUCACUUUGACUUUUAUUCGAUUUCUUUUACUUUUUUACACAACUUUAACUUUUACAAACUUUACACAAAUUAAAGAAAUUAUUUUGAUCUUCGAAAAUUCUUUCCUUGUCUUCUUUCUUCUUCUAUUUCCUUUGUCGAGAUCACUAUUUAGAUUCGUUGUCCAUCCUUUUUAAAGAUAUAUACACAUAUAUCCAUUUCCAAUUUUCAAGAUUUUCGAAUCACACUUUCAAGAGGCAGAAUUUUAUAACGGAAUAACAACUGUAUUGCGGUAUUCAAAUCGCUAAAGAGAUGAAUCACCGCGCAAGUUACAUUUUUUGGAUUUCGAUGCGUGUUCUUCUUCCGUGUAAUCGUCGCCGUUGUUUACGUUCCACGAUCGCUCGAUUACGUAAUAUCGCUUAAAAGCAAACGUGACGUUUUCCAGUCGCGAUACAUCCACGUUCGCGUUCCGCUUCGGAUUCCUCGCGUAGCUUGCGUGCUUCUUGCGGCCUCUGUCUUCAAAAAAAUUAUCGUAUAUUUGCACGGAUGGAUCGAUUGUUAAUGUCUGAGAAAAAUAAAAUUUAACUUUUUCUCGAAUUUAAUCGAAUAUGUUGGAAAUUUGUUCGUGUUCCCAAAUUGAAAUUUCUAAUAUAACAUAAUAUAUUUAAAAUUUUUCUCACUUUCACUUUCACAUUAAAAAUCGAAAUUCGCUAUUCGUGCUUUUAAUUUUUUCCAAGAUCGAUCGUGAAUCGAGACAAAGUAAAUAGUGUUCGCUACUUUAGUGUUGGCUUUCUUGGUUAAUUGCUCAAAGAGCAUACAUGGAAUACACGUGCUUCACCUCUAUCGGUCGUUCUUACGGACUUCCGUUUGUGGUUUGCACGUCGAUAAUUGUUACUAUUUUCUCACGAAUACAUGACGCAACAAUUCUUCGAUAAUUUCUUCUUAUUCUAUAAACAUUUGAACAAAUUCAAUUUAUUUCUUGAUUAUUGAACUAUUUUAAAAAUUGAUUCGAGGUUAGAAGAUGAUUGUCGGUUAGAAAUCUCACAGAAUACUUCAAAUUUCACUUCAAAAUUCUUCUUUCUUUCUUUCUUUCUUUUCCACCACUUCUGUAACAAUUUCAAAACACUUUUAUAAACACUUGUUUUAGCACGAUGAAUCGCAAUUAUCUGAAAUUUCCUCUUCUAACUCGUUUCCAAAAAGUUUUUUUCACUUCCCGCACACAAUGCAAUGCCUACAAUUGUUACUUUACACUUGGAUCACACUGUACACACAGAAGAUCGUCCCGAUGUUUGCAGCCAAGACUGAAUAUCAAAUGAAAUCGCGAUAGAUAGGAAUGAUAAAUUUUUGCUGCCCGACGUUUAUAAACUAGUUACUUAGACGAGUUAAGUAACUUUUUCCAAGGCACAAUUAAAGACGGCGACGAUUCGAGGAUAACACACAGCCGACUCGACGACGAUCGAAAUGCGUCAUCGACUAAUUAACCGACGCUUGCUAGCGUCAUUAGCAUAAUUAUCAGGAGUGGACAAAACGCGGGGCGAUUCAGAGGUCGGCGGGCCUCCACGGUUGACCGGAAGUCGAUGUUCCUCGCGGUGUUUUGCGUUUUAAUCGUAUUUUCAAUGAUUUAAAAUAGCAUGUGUAUUCAUAAAUCGUUCAAAUAUAUUCAUAUGCAUUUAUAUAAAUCAUGUGUGAAGAACAAGCU
RNAcentral lists this long non-coding RNA (2267 nucleotides) under Apis florea (little honeybee). RNAcentral's name for it is "uncharacterized LOC116415600". The record is from RNAcentral. Lineage: Eukaryota; Metazoa; Arthropoda; Insecta; Hymenoptera; Apidae.